GGCGUGAUGGCCGAGUGGUCUAAGGCGAUAGACUUAAGCUUUGCAUGCAUUCUAUUGGGGAGACCCGCGCGAGUUCGAACCUCGCUCACGUCA
Non-coding RNA from Xylaria sp. FL0043, 93 nucleotides. The record is from the annotation of a GenBank genome assembly. Lineage: Eukaryota; Fungi; Ascomycota; Sordariomycetes; Xylariales; Xylariaceae.